UACGUAGGGUGCGAGCGUUAAUCGGAAUUACUGGGCGUAAAGCGUGCGCAGGCGGAUUGUUAAGCAAGAUGUGAAAUCCCCGGGCUUAACUUGGGAAUUGCAUUGGUGACUGCACGGCUAGAGUGUGUCAGAGGGGGGUAGAAUUCCACGUGUAGCAGUGAAAUGCGUAGAGAUGUGGAGGAAUACCGAUGGCGAAGGCAGCCCCCUGGGAUAACACUGACGCUCAUGCACGAAAGCGUGGGGAGCAAACAGG
This 253-nucleotide ribosomal RNA is filed under the name uncultured bacterium. RNAcentral's name for it is "partial 16S ribosomal RNA". It matches the Rfam family "Bacterial small subunit ribosomal RNA", at positions 524 to 776 of the family's 1533-position model. The record is from RNAcentral.